UACGGAGGGGGCUAGCGUUGUUCGGAAUUACUGGGCGUAAAGCGCGCGUAGGCGGCUUUGUAAGUUAGAGGUGAAAGCCCGGAGCUCAACUCCGGAAUUGCCUUUAAGACUGCAUCGCUGGAAUCAUGGAGAGGUUAGUGGAAUUCCGAGUGUAGAGGUGAAAUUCGUAGAUAUUCGGAAGAACACCAGUGGCGAAGGCGACUAACUGGACAUGUAUUGACGCUGAGGUGCGAAAGCGUGGGGAGCAAACGGG
RNAcentral lists this ribosomal RNA (253 nucleotides) under uncultured bacterium. RNAcentral's name for it is "partial 16S ribosomal RNA". It matches the Rfam family "Bacterial small subunit ribosomal RNA", at positions 524 to 776 of the family's 1533-position model. The record is from RNAcentral.